GAUGAACGCUGGCGGCGUGCCUAAUACAUGCAAGUCGAGCGAACAGACGAGGAGCUUGCUCCUCUGACGUUAGCGGCGGACGGGUGAGUAACACGUGGAUAACCUACCUAUAAGACUGGGAUAACUUCGGGAAACCGGAGCUAAUACCGGAUAAUAUAUUGAACCGCAUGGUUCAAUAGUGAAAGACGGUUUUGCUGUCACUUAUAGAUGGAUCCGCGCUGCAUUAGCUAGUUGGUAAGGUAACGGCUUACCAAGGCAACGAUGCGUAGCCGACCUGAGAGGGUGAUCGGCCACACUGGAACUGAGACACGGUCCAGACUACUACGGGAGGCAGCAGUAGGGAAUCUUCCGCAAUGGGCGAAAGCCUGACGGAGCAACGCCGCGUGAGUGAUGAAGGUCUUCGGAUCGUAAAACUCUGUUAUUAGGGAAGAACAAAUGUGUAAGUAACUAUGCACGUCUUGACGGUACCUAAUCAGAAAGCCACGGCUAACUACGUG
RNAcentral lists this ribosomal RNA (497 nucleotides) under uncultured bacterium. RNAcentral describes it as "partial 16S ribosomal RNA". It matches the Rfam family "Bacterial small subunit ribosomal RNA", at positions 28 to 507 of the family's 1533-position model. The record is from RNAcentral.